Molecule: long non-coding RNA, 654 nt
Organism: Xiphias gladius (swordfish)
Lineage: Eukaryota; Metazoa; Chordata; Actinopteri; Istiophoriformes; Xiphiidae
Exons: 5
Source: RefSeq, a predicted model, not a curated record
GGACGCGUGGGAAACGUUUCCCCUGGUUCAGUGUAGGGAUUAUUCUUUCGAUCCAGGUGCCCAGGAAGAUGCCUUCGAGGACCCGUGGAGAUGCCGUCAAAAGCAGCGGUGGAGCGCUGUUCAACGAGCUCCUGGUGGCCCUGGGAGAUCGGGCGGAGUCGUGGGGAGAAACGUCUCUCGGCCAUUUCUACGGGCAGUAUACUCCCCUCUGAAGAACUGUCCAUUAAUUCUGACUUAACCGACGUGCUUACAUCAGCGUGUGGAACAUUUACAAGUUAAGAUAAUAAGCAGCUGGGCCCCCUGCUUUAAAUCUGAGGACAUUUGGUGCUCCUGACCUCCAGCGGUUUACCUUUAAACUUGACAUUCACUUCUCUGGAUGGGAUGCCGCUUCUUGCUCAAGAGAACUACAGUGCGGUGAAUGCUUGGCAACACAGUUGAAUUAAACCACAGGUGAUGGUCCGCUAUCGUGCAGGAAGGAAAUCCACGGCAGAAGAGGCUGAGAUACCAAUCUCCCUGCUAACGGUCGCUUCAAUAGACUGUAAUGCGAUACAGCCCCAAGACGUGAUCAAGUUUGAGUGAGGGAUAUGAAAAAUUUGAUCUCUUGCUCUUCACGGUCACUGUUGCUGUCGCUAUCGCUAUCACCCCCCCCGCCCC